This 253-nucleotide ribosomal RNA is filed under the name uncultured bacterium. Its description in RNAcentral is "partial 16S ribosomal RNA". It matches the Rfam family "Bacterial small subunit ribosomal RNA", at positions 524 to 776 of the family's 1533-position model. The record is from RNAcentral.
UACGUAGGGUGCAAGCGUUGUCCGGAAUUAUUGGGCGUAAAGAGCUCGUAGGCGGUCUGUCGCGUCGGCUGUGAAAACCCGGAGCUCAACUCCGGGCCUGCAUUCGAUACGGGCAGGCUCGAGUUCGGUAGGGGAGACUGGAAUUCCUGGUGUAGCGGUGAAAUGCGCAGAUAUCAGGAGGAACACCGGUGGCGAAGGCGGGUCUCUGGGCCGAUACUGACGCUGAGGAGCGAAAGCGUGGGGAGCGAACAGG